GGAAGUAAAAGUCGUAACAAGGUCUCCGUUGGUGAACCAGCGGAGGGAUCAUUACCGAGUUUACAACUCCCCAACCCUUCUGUGAACAUACCUACCGUUGCUUCGGCGGACUCGCCCCGGCGUCCGGACGGCCUCGCGCCGCCCGCGGCCCGGGCCCAGGCGGCCGCCGGAGACCCCCCAACUCUGUUUCCUUCAGCAUCUUCUGAAUCUGCCGCGAGGCAAAACAAACGAAUCAAAACUUUCAACAACGGAUCUCUUGGUUCUGGCAUCGAUGAAGAACGCAGCGAAAUGCGAUAAGUAAUGUGAAUUGCAGAAUUCCGUGAACCAUCGAAUCUUUGAACGCACAUUGCGCCCGCCAGCAUUCUGGCGGGCAUGCCUGUUCGAGCGUCAUUACAACCCUCGACCCCCCCCGGGGCGGUCGGCGUUGGGGCACGGCAGCACACCGCCGGCCCUGAAAUGGAGUGGCGGCCCGUCCGCGGCGACCUCUGCGUAGUAAUCCAGCUCGCACCGGGAACCCGACGCGGCCACGCCGUAAAACACCCAACUUUCUGAACGUUGACCUCGGAUCAGGUAGGACUACCCGCUGAACUUAAGCAUAUCAAUAAGCGGAGGA
This 613-nucleotide ribosomal RNA is filed under the name Gibellula shennongjiaensis. RNAcentral describes it as "eukaryotic LSU rRNA". The stretch from base 237 to 390 matches the Rfam family "5.8S ribosomal RNA". Lineage: Eukaryota; Fungi; Ascomycota; Sordariomycetes; Hypocreales; Cordycipitaceae. The record is from RNAcentral.